RNAcentral lists this ribosomal RNA (223 nucleotides) under uncultured bacterium. RNAcentral's name for it is "partial 16S ribosomal RNA". It matches the Rfam family "Bacterial small subunit ribosomal RNA", at positions 109 to 334 of the family's 1533-position model. The record is from RNAcentral.
AGUAAUGUCUGGGAAACUGCCUGAUGGAGGGGGGUAACUACUGGAAACGGUAGCUAAUACCGCAUAACGUCGCAAGACCAAAGUGGGGGACCGUUCGGGCCUCAUGCCAUCAGAUGUGCCCAGAUAGGAUUAGCUAGUAGGUGGGGUAACGGCUCACCUAGGCGACGAUCCCUAGCUGGUCUGAGAGGAUGACCAGCCACACUGGAACUGAGACACGGUCCAG